CCUACGGGGGGCAGCAGUGAGGAAUAUUGGUCAAUGGGCGCGAGUCUGAACCAGCCAUGUCGCGUGAGGGAAGACGGCCCUAUGGAUUGUAAACUUCUUUUGUACGGGGGUAAAAGCCGCUACGCGUGUCGUUCUGAGAGUAUCCGACGAAUAAGGAUCGGCUAACUCCGUGCCAGCAGCCGCGGUAAUACGGAGGAUGCGAGCGUUAUCCGGAUUUAUUGGGUUUAAGGGGUGCGUAGGCGGAGGAUAAAGUUAGCGGUAAAAUCCGGAGGCUCAACCUCGUCGUGCCGUUGAUACUGGUUGUCUUGAGAGUACGAGAGGUAGGCGGAAUGCAUGGUGUAGCGGUGAAAUGCAUAGAGAUCACACAGAACACCGAUUGCGAAGGCAGCAUACC
Molecule: ribosomal RNA, 394 nt
Filed under: uncultured bacterium
Lineage: Bacteria
Description: partial 16S ribosomal RNA
Rfam family: Bacterial small subunit ribosomal RNA
Source: RNAcentral